Molecule: ribosomal RNA, 584 nt
Filed under: uncultured bacterium
Lineage: Bacteria
Description: bacterial SSU rRNA
Rfam family: Bacterial small subunit ribosomal RNA
Source: RNAcentral
CAACGCUGGCGGCGUGCUUACACAUGCAAGUCGAGCGGAAAGGCCUUUCGGGGUACUCGAGCGGCGAACGGGUGAGUAACACGUGAGUAACCUGUCCUUGGCUUUGGGAUAACCCUCGGAAACGGGGGCUAAUACCGGAUAUGACCUUUGCCUGCAUGGGUGGGGGUGGAAAGUUUUUUCGGCUAGGGGUGGGCUCGCGGCCUAUCAGCUUGUUGGUGGGGUGAUGGCCUACCAAGGCGACGACGGGUAGCCGGCCUGAGAGGGCGACCGGCCACACUGGGACUGAGACACGGCCCAGACUCCUACGGGAGGCAGCAGUGGGGAAUAUUGCACAAUGGGCGGAAGCCUGAUGCAGCGACGCCGCGUGAGGGAUGACGGCCUUCGGGUUGUAAACCUCUUUCAGCAGGGACGAAGCGUGAGUGACGGUACCUGCAGAAGAAGCGCCGGCCAACUACGUGCCAGCAGCCGCGGUAAGACGUAGGGCGCGAGCGUUGUCCGGAUUUAUUGGGCGUAAAGAGCUCGUAGGCGGCUUGUUGCGUCGACCGUGAAAACCCGGGGCUCAACUUCGGGCUUGCGGUCGAUAC